Molecule: unclassified non-coding RNA, 513 nt
Filed under: Hevea brasiliensis (rubber tree)
Lineage: Eukaryota; Viridiplantae; Streptophyta; Magnoliopsida; Malpighiales; Euphorbiaceae
Source: RNAcentral
GGGUUCAAUGAGGAUCAGGUCGAGCUCUCAAAGUAUUCGAAAGAAGUGGUGUCGCCAAGUGAGGAUUAUUCUUGCUAUUGAUGCUGUUGUUUGCUUGAUACUAUUCAUAAUUUGGCUGUCAAUCUGUGAUGGUUUUAGAUGUACCAGUUGAUUGUGAAAUUGGAGCCAGAGAUUCACCUUUUACUUGAUAGUGCCUAUCCAGAGUAUGUGAGAAUCAGUUUACGUCAGGGAAUCAAUUUCAACCUUGCCAAACUCUGUUGUGGAGGUAUGUGCUUGAAAUUAUGUGGUGGAAUCAUAUUAACAGAUUCUCCAUACCGUUAAAUAGUUAUUAUGGUAUACACAUUCAUCUAGAUCAUCGUUGAAGGUUGGUGCUACUAUGCUGUUUGUAAUUAUAGAUAUAAAAUAUCAGAUGUUGUGUAUCUAAAUAUUUUAAUCCCAGCAUAUUUUCUUUUCAUGUAUAAAAAUUACGCAUUGAAGCGUCAUUUGUGCUGAUAUUUGCCAAAAUAUUCUUCU